RNAcentral lists this unclassified non-coding RNA (253 nucleotides) under uncultured Alphaproteobacteria bacterium. Its description in RNAcentral is "contains 16S-23S intergenic spacer region". It matches the Rfam family "Bacterial small subunit ribosomal RNA", at positions 524 to 776 of the family's 1533-position model. The record is from RNAcentral. Lineage: Bacteria; Pseudomonadati; Pseudomonadota; Alphaproteobacteria.
GACGGAGGGUGCUAGCGUUGUUCGGAAUCACUGGGCGUAAAGGGCGCGUAGGCGGUCCGUCGCGUCGGAGGUGAAAGCCCGGGGCUCAACCCCGGAACUGCCUCCGAUACGGGCGAACUCGAGGUCGGAAGAGGAGAGCGGAAUACCCAGUGUAGAGGUGAAAUUCGUAGAUAUUGGGUGGAACACCGGUGGCGAAGGCGGCUCUCUGGUCCGAAUCUGACGCUGAGGCGCGAAAGCGUGGGGAGCAAACAGG